AUUGAACGCUGGCGGCAGGCCUAACACAUGCAAGUCGAGCGGUAGAGAGAAGCUUGCUUCUCUUGAGAGCGGCGGACGGGUGAGUAAUGCCUAGGAAUCUGCCUAGUGGUGGGGGAUAACGUUCGGAAACGGACGCUAAUACCGCAUACGUCCUACGGGAGAAAGCGGGGGAUCUUCGGACCUCGCGCUAAUAGAUGAGCCUAAGUCAGAUUAGCUAGUUGGUAGGGUAACGGCCUACCAAGGCUACGAUCAGUAGGGGGCGUGAGAGCGUGGCCCCCCACACGGGUACUGAGACACGGACCCGACUCCUACGGGAGGCAGCAGUAAGGAAUAUUGGGCAAUGGACGGAAGUCUGACCCAGCCAUCCCGCGUGCAGGACGAAUGCCCUAUGGGUUGUAAACUGCUUUUGUUUGGGAAGAAAUGUAUUCUUUUAAGAGUAUUUGACGGUACCAGACGAAUAAGCACCGGCUAACUCCGUG
This 479-nucleotide ribosomal RNA is filed under the name uncultured bacterium. RNAcentral describes it as "bacterial SSU rRNA". It matches the Rfam family "Bacterial small subunit ribosomal RNA", at positions 30 to 507 of the family's 1533-position model. The record is from RNAcentral.